GUCGAACGGAGUAGUGUUCAACACCGAGUACUAACUAAAGUGUUGACCGACAGCGCAUAUGAGCGAACGAAGAGAGCUCAUUACGCAAAUAAAAGUGCCAACACCAAUGACGUAGAACUGGGUGUUGAACAUUACUUAGUGGCGAACGGGUGAGUAACGCGUAGACAACCUGCCUUCUAGAUGGGGACAACACUGCGAAAGUGGUGCUAAUACCGAAUGUUGCAUUGAGCCUGCAUGGGCUUGAUACUAAAGGUGGCCUCUAUUUAUAAGCUAUCACUAGAAGAUGGGUCUGCGUCUGAUUAGCUAGUUGGUGAGGUAAUGGCUCACCAAGGCGAUGAUCAGUAGCCGGUCUGAGAGGAUGAACGGCCACACUGGGACUGAGACACGGCCCAGACUCCUACGGGAGGCAGCAGUGGGGAAUCUUCCGCAAUGGACGAAAGUCUGACGGAGCAACGCCGCGUGAGUGAAGAAGGUUUUCGGAUCGUAAAGCUCUGUCUUUGAGGACGAAUGUGUCUAAUGUGAAUAAUGUUAGAUAAUGACGGUACUCGAGGAGGAAGCCACGGCUAACUACGUGCCAGCAGCCGCGGUAAUACGUAGGUGGCAAGCGUUGUCCGGAAUUAUU
RNAcentral lists this ribosomal RNA (622 nucleotides) under uncultured Ochrobactrum sp. Its description in RNAcentral is "bacterial SSU rRNA". It matches the Rfam family "Bacterial small subunit ribosomal RNA", at positions 61 to 555 of the family's 1533-position model. The record is from RNAcentral. Lineage: Bacteria; Pseudomonadati; Pseudomonadota; Alphaproteobacteria; Hyphomicrobiales; Brucellaceae.